Long non-coding RNA from Rosa rugosa (rugosa rose), 776 nucleotides. RefSeq lists it as uncharacterized. NCBI's taxonomy places the organism in Eukaryota, Viridiplantae, Streptophyta, Magnoliopsida, Rosales, Rosaceae. The transcript is spliced from 4 exons. The record is from RefSeq and is a predicted model, not a curated record.
GCCUUCUCCACCUAUAUCUCUAGACUUUUCCGUCACUUGCAUGCAAACCAUUCUCAGAAUUGAACCACAGAUUACACCCACUAAUCUCAUCUGCAUCCACCCAAAACCCAAAUCACCUUUCUUACCCAGCCUUGCUAAAGAAUGGAGAAACCAACCAUGGCAACGGGUUAGAAGCCACUGAAGCCCCAUCUCCUUCUGUUGCUAGUACAGAAGCUUGGCUUUGGAAAUUAGACUGAAAUUGGCUCACUUUUAAGGUUUGGAAUUUGGGAAAAGUAAAAGUUUGGAGCUGGAGUUAAUCGAAAGUCUUUGUCAGCUGAAAGGUGGAAUUGUGCAAUACAUAAAUUGAGGGAGAAGGUUUCUGGGUGAAGGUAGUUGUUGACGGCAACUGACCAAAUUGAGGAUUUCCAGUUACCCAAGGCUUGAGCAACAAAGGUGGAAGCUCGGAGAUUUCUUGAGCGUGGAUUCCAGGAACUGAGCAGGAGCCAGCUGAGGACCAGACUUAGACACUUGGGUGUUGGCAUCGUCAAGUUGUGAAUAGUUUCUUUUGGACUUGACUGUUGGUUUGGCAGGUGUUGAUCAAUCUCCCUCCUUUUGAAAUUGUGAAUGUGACUUUGUUUUGUUGUGGGAACCUUUGUAAAUUUGUUAUUAUCCGCCUGCCUAUCUUUUGGUGUGUGUUACUUAGCGUGAAUUUGAAACCCGAAUUUUGGACUCGUGACUUUUGUGGAAUGUAAAUAAAGUACUCUUUUGUUGUAAAAUCUUUACGCUUCCGAAUCGUA